Molecule: ribosomal RNA, 818 nt
Filed under: uncultured bacterium
Lineage: Bacteria
Description: bacterial SSU rRNA
Rfam family: Bacterial small subunit ribosomal RNA
Source: RNAcentral
AAGUCGAACGAGAUCUUCGGAUCUAGUGGCGCACGGGUGAGUAACGCGUGGAAACCUGCCWAUCUGUACGGAAUAACGUUUGGAAACGAACGCUAAUACCGUAUACGCCCUGUGGGGGAAAGGUCCGCCGCAGAWWGAGGGGUCCGCGUCCGAUUAGCUWGUUGGURGGGUAAUGGCUUACCAAGGCGACGAUCGGUAGCUGGUCUGAGAGGAUGAUCAGCCACACUGGGACUGAGACACGGCCCAGACUCCUACGGGAGGCAGCAGUGGGGAAUAUUGGACAAUGGGGGCAACCCUGAUCCAGCAAUGCCGCGUGUGUGAUGAAGGCCUUAGGGUUGUAAAGCACUUUCAAUGGUGAAGAUGAUGACGGUAACCAUAGAAGAAGCCCCGGCUAACUUCGUGCCAGCAGCCGCGGUAAUACGAAGGGGGCGAGCGUUGUUCGGAAUUACUGGGCGUAAAGGGCGCGCAGGCGGUCWAAUYCAGUYAGGUGUGAAAKCCCCGGGCUUAACCUGGGAACUGCACUUAAUACUGWUUGACUAGAAAACGGAAGAGGAGAGUGGAAUUCCCAGUGUAGAGGUGAAAUUCGUAGAUAUUGGGAAGAACACCAGUGGCGAAAGCGGCUCUCUGGUCCGAUUUUGACGCUGAGGCGCGAAAGCGUGGGGAGCRAACAGGAUUAGAUACCCUGGUAGUCCACGCCGUAAACGAUGUUAACUAGUUGUCGGGGGGUYGCCCCUCGGUGACGCCGCUAACGCAUUAAGUUAACCGCCUGGGAAGUACGGUCGCAAGAUUAAAACUCAAAGGAAUUGACGGGGSCCGCA